UUUAUGGAGAGUUUGAUCCUGGCUCAGGAUGAACGCUGGCGGCGUGCCUAAUACAUGCAAGUCGAGCGAACGGACGAGAAGCUUGCUUCUCUGAUGUUAGCGGCGGACGGGUGAGUAACACGUGGAUAACCUACCUAUAAGACUGGGAUAACUUCGGGAAACCGGAGCUAAUACCGGAUGAUAUUUUGAACCGCAUGGUUCAAAAGUGAAAGACGGUCUUGCUGUCACUUAUAGAUGGAUCCGCGCUGCAUUAGCUAGUUGGUAAGGUAACGGCUUACCAAGGCAACGAUGCAUAGCCGACCUGAGAGGGUGAUCGGCCACACUGGAACUGAGACACGGUCCAGACUCCUACGGGAGGCAGCAGUAGGGAAUCUUCCGCAAUGGGCGAAAGCCUGACGGAGCAACGCCGCGUGAGUGAUGAAGGUCUUCGGAUCGUAAAACUCUGUUAUUAGGGAAGAACAUAUGUGUAAGUAACUGUGCACAUCUUGACGGUACCUAAUCAGAAAGCC
Molecule: ribosomal RNA, 509 nt
Filed under: Staphylococcus aureus
Lineage: Bacteria; Bacillati; Bacillota; Bacilli; Caryophanales; Staphylococcaceae
Description: bacterial SSU rRNA
Rfam family: Bacterial small subunit ribosomal RNA
Source: RNAcentral